This 2012-nucleotide long non-coding RNA is filed under the name Ananas comosus (pineapple). Its description in RNAcentral is "long non-coding RNA (ACOM_LNC011831)". Lineage: Eukaryota; Viridiplantae; Streptophyta; Magnoliopsida; Poales; Bromeliaceae. The record is from RNAcentral.
UUUUUUAAAAAAUUCUUUCUUACCUCUUUCUUAAAUUUUUUUCUCUUCUCAGAACAAGAUUUAUAAUUUUUUUUUAAGUCUACUCUAUUUUUUUAUUUUUUAUUAUAAAAAUUAAAAAUAUAUAAAUAAAUUUUAAAUAGUUUAAAUUGUUUGUAUUAAAUAUAAAUUUUAAUUUUAUAAUAUUAAGUAUUUAAAUAUAGAUUUACAUUAAAAAAUAAAAAAAGAAAGAUUGAUGAAAUUUAAGUUAAUUUUAUCAUCGACUGACUCAAAUUUAAUAUAUCGAAAAGUGAUGCACUCAGAUUUUUGAAGUCAAAAUAUCAUCAACUGACUGUAAUUUAAUAUAUCGAAAAAUUGGAUAAUCAAAAUAAAAUUUUGAAAGAUUAGAUUUUAAAAAAAUUAUAGAAUUCGAUCAGGAACGUGGUAACUUAUUUUUUCUAAAAUAUUUAAAAGUAAAUAUUUAAAUUUAAGAUUGAGUGGGUUUAAGGUUUAUCCCUAAAUUUUUCUAUAAUAUGUUUUAACAUUUUUAUCCCACUUAUAUUAUUCUGUUAUGGUUUUGGAGGGACAUAUUUGUGAUGGUAAAAGUGAAAACAUAAACAGUUGAAAAUAUUAUAUUGUUAUCAUUUAUCCCUAAAUCUGUAGAGAUAUUAUUCUUAUAUUUUUAUUAUAGCAAUAGUUGCUUAUUUUUCAGUUACUCUUUUUUUAUAUAAUUCCUUGACUCUUUUUUUUAUUUUUUUUAUUAUAUUUAUAUAUUUAUUUCUACGGAAUCAUCCCGCCGCAACACGCUGGUCCUUCAUUGGUGCUAAUAAUAAUUGUUAGGAUUUUCAUAAAUGUAACCCAAUUAAUUAUAUUUAAAUCUUGAUUUAUUAUAAAUAAAAGUCAAUACUACUAGAUAUAGAACUAUUUAAUAUAGUAUAUCUUAUUACCUUUUUAUCUAUUUAAAUUAAAUAAAAUUUUAAUGAGCCUUUGACAUUUUGAUCCUCUCACCUUCUCAUGUAUAAUAUGGUGAAGAAUUACCAAAGGUUCCACACAAGAGUGUCUGAAAAAAGAGGAGAAAUCCUCUCAUGUGCAAUUUGUCGAAGAAUUACCAUCGGUUUUCACACGAUAGUACCUGAAAAAGGAGAAAAAAUCUUGACAUUUUUUAGAAAGGAGGAGAAACCAAAUUAUCCAAAUUUCGGUUCCAUACGAGAGUGCCUAAGAAAAGAGGAACAAAGUUACCAAAGUUCGGUAGGUGACAUUUAGAUUAUAGUAGGACUUCCGCAGAUUUAUUAAGAAUUUCUUCUCUAUGACGUUAUAUGAGUUAUUAUAAUUUUAUUUAUGAUCUUAGAUUUGGUAUAUAUUUAUUUUUAAUAUUAGUUUUCAUACCGAUAAAAAUCUAUCAAUUGGUAUCAGAGCCAAAAACGAUAAAUUAUAUUUGGAUGCUUUAUCUAAUUGGAUUGAAUUAUGAUAAUUAUUUUUCAUAAAAAAAGUAAAAGAUAUCUUUUGGGAACACUGCACACGUUAUACGCUUUGGUAAUGGUGGCGUGAUUCAGCACGCGUUAGGAUGCGGUAGUGUUGUUUUGUUGUGGAUCAUGUAUUAGGGCAUCCAUGCGUGUGUCAGGUGCGCAUGGGAUUCAUGCAGGUUAAAGUUUGAAAGCUAAUUAAUUAGUAGGGUAAACUUUAAAUACCACCCUAUGAUUUUGAACUUUUUUAUUUUAGUACUAUAUAAUUUAAAGUGUAUCAAUUUAGUACUUUAUGGUUUUAUUUUUUUUUUCCUUUUCAUUGGCUCCUCCAUUAACAUUUCGUCAAAAAACUUUAAAUAUCUCACAUAUGUUUAUCGAAUAUUUACUUUAAUACUUUUUAGCUUUAACUUUAUCACUGACUUAACGAAAAAAAAAAUAGUGAAGGGAAUAAUAAAAAGAGAAAAAUAAAACCAAGGAGUACUAAAUAAAUAUAUACUUUAAACCAUAUGGUACUAAAAUAAAAAAGUGCGAAAUCACAUGAUUGGUAUUUAAAAUUUUUCUUAUAUUGUGUUU